GUGAGGAAUAUUGCGCAAUGGAGGCAACUCUGACGCAGCCAUGCCGCGUGCAGGAAGAAGGCGCUACGCGUUGUAAACUGCUUUUAACCGGGAAGAAACCCCAGGACGUGUCCUGGGUUGACGGUACCAGAGGAAUAAGCACCGGCUAACUUCGUGCCAGCAGCCGCGGUAAUACGAAGGGUGCAAGCGUUAUCCGGCUUCAUUGGGUUUAAAGGGUGCGUAGGCGGAGCGUUAAGUCAGUGGUGAAAUCCUGCAGCUUAACUGUAGACUUGCCAUUGAUACUGGCGCUCUUGAGUGCGCUUGAAGUGGGCGGAAUGUGCCGUGUAGCGGUGAAAUGCUUAGAUAUGGCACAGAACACCAAUUGCGAAGGCAGCUCACUAAGGCGAUACUGACGCUGAGGCACGAAAGCGUGGGGAUCGAACAGGAUUAGAUACCCGGGUAGUCC
RNAcentral lists this ribosomal RNA (445 nucleotides) under uncultured bacterium. RNAcentral describes it as "bacterial SSU rRNA". It matches the Rfam family "Bacterial small subunit ribosomal RNA", at positions 354 to 796 of the family's 1533-position model. The record is from RNAcentral.